UACAGGGGGGGGCGAGCGUUGUUCGGAAUUAUUGGGCGUAAAGGGCGCGUAGGCGGUUCGAUAAGUCGGAUGUGAAAGCCCCGGGCUCAACCCGGGAAGUGCACUCGAUACUGUCGAGCUAGAGUAUCGGAGAGGUUGGUGGAAUUCUCGGUGUAGAGGUGAAAUUCGUAGAUAUCGAGAGGAACACCGGUGGCGAAGGCGGCCAACUGGACGAAUACUGACGCUGAGAACUCGAAAGCGUGGGGAGCAAACAGG
RNAcentral lists this ribosomal RNA (255 nucleotides) under uncultured bacterium. RNAcentral's name for it is "partial 16S ribosomal RNA". It matches the Rfam family "Bacterial small subunit ribosomal RNA", at positions 524 to 776 of the family's 1533-position model. The record is from RNAcentral.